This is a long non-coding RNA of Amphibalanus amphitrite, 478 nucleotides long. RefSeq lists it as uncharacterized. Lineage: Eukaryota; Metazoa; Arthropoda; Thecostraca; Balanomorpha; Balanidae. The record is from RefSeq and is a predicted model, not a curated record. The transcript is spliced from 3 exons.
GCACCGCCGGCCUCAGGACCAAGCCCACCACCAGCGGGCGUUGACGGAGGCGGGUGUGCGGCUCUGGCGCAGCUGAGCCGUCGACCGCCGGAGCCAAUCCGGCAGUCCGGCAUUUCAGCUGCCGCACACUCGCCCGUCACAGGAUCAGAGGCCUCCCCAGACAGCUUCCCGUUUCCGACCGGCUGAUACGGGUGAGCGGCGGCGGCGCAGCUGGGACGGUGAAAUACAACACACCGCUCUGGUGGUCAGAGACCAAUGUGACGCUCUGUUCAGUCGUUUGUGGCGCAGUUUGACGGUUUUAGUUCAAAAUUAAAUGAGAUCCUAUUGAGGGGUUGGCAUAAGCUUUACUCUUCUGCAUUUCCAAUAUUGAUUCAAUGAUAGGAUCUCAAGGAUAGGAUAUCUCGUAGACGUCCUGUACUUUGUAGAUUACUCAAAACUUUGUAGAUUUUGUGACAGAUAACGAAUUACAUCGAUAUGC